Molecule: ribosomal RNA, 253 nt
Filed under: uncultured bacterium
Lineage: Bacteria
Description: partial 16S ribosomal RNA
Rfam family: Bacterial small subunit ribosomal RNA
Source: RNAcentral
UACGUAGGGCGCGAGCGUUGUCCGGAAUUAUUGGGCGUAAAGAGCUCGUAGGCGGCUUGUCACGUCGGGUGUGAAAGACCGGGGCUUAACUCCGGUUCUGCAUUCGAUACGGGCUAGCUAGAGUGUGGUAGGGGAGAUCGGAAUUCCUGGUGUAGCGGUGAAAUGCGCAGAUAUCAGGAGGAACACCGGUGGCGAAGGCGGAUCUCUGGGCCAUUACUGACGCUGAGACGCGAAGGCGUGGGGAGCAAACAGG